RNAcentral lists this unclassified non-coding RNA (784 nucleotides) under Hevea brasiliensis (rubber tree). The record is from RNAcentral. Lineage: Eukaryota; Viridiplantae; Streptophyta; Magnoliopsida; Malpighiales; Euphorbiaceae.
AGAAAAAAAAACUCUCUCAAUUUUUUUUUUUUAAAAACAGCAAAAAUGUCUGAGUUAAUUCAACCAAUUAAACGUUUUAGAGAAGAAGAAGAGCAAUUACAAGUACAAACUGAAGAAUAUAAACGUCAUAAAUCAUCAUAUAAUGAUAUCCUCUCAAUCCUCGAAGAGGAAGAGGAGUACGGUAUUGAGUCUGAUCCGGAUAUUAAAUUAUCCGGGUCAGACAUCUUUACCACGCUUCAGCAGGAGCUGGACCUCCUGCCGAGCGAUAACAACAACGGGCUUGGGUCCGAGCCCGUAGAAGAUACGGACUCGGGUAAUUCCCAAAUCCGUUGUAAUAGUAAUUCUACAGAAGAUGAUAGAAGUAGUGUUAUUAGACACCUUCUAGAAGCUUCCGACGAUGAACUUGGAAUACCAAGCGGAGAUGGAAUUAACGGUUCAGAUUUUCCAAUUGUUGAAGAAAAUGGAAUCAACGGUGGAGAUUUUCCGUUUGCUAUAUCAGAUGGAUUAUGGGAACUUGAAGAUGAAGCAGCUAAUUAUUAUUCUUUAUUACAAUCUGAACUUUUUAUGUAGUUUUUUUAAAAAAAAAUUUGGUGGGUAGGAUUAGAUUGGAAGAAAAGGGAAAUGUUUGGGGUGUAAAGUGAAAAAGAAAAAAGAUGAGGGUGAAAAAAGGAAAAAGUUGGGAAGAGGUUUUUUUAGGUACUCUAAUUUUGUCCCCACUCAUCUUUUGUAUAUUCCCAAAAGUACCCCUUUGGAUUAGAAUAUUAGUAAGCAUAAUGUAGAAGGU